Molecule: long non-coding RNA, 1013 nt
Filed under: Macaca fascicularis (crab-eating macaque)
Lineage: Eukaryota; Metazoa; Chordata; Mammalia; Primates; Cercopithecidae
Description: lncRNA (ENSMFAG00000056707.1)
Source: RNAcentral
GUGCCCUUCUCCUCCUGGUUUUCUCAGGGCUAAAAAUACGAGGUCUCCCCUCAAGGGGCCUUCGCUGAAGCCCAGCUCAUGUCCCACCCAGUUUCUCAGUCCCUCUUGAGGGUCUGGGAUGUAGACUGUGGCCCGACAUGUUUGUUUCCUUUCUAGCACUUUCUACAAUCUCUAAUACUCUCGCUUUCUUAUUAGUUUGGUGAGAUUACCUUCCCCAUGCCUCCACUAGGGUACUGUCUCCAUAAGGGCAGGCGCUUCUUCUGUUCAUAGAGCGUGGGGCCAGGUGCACGGCUGGCGCUCCACAAGCCGUCAGUGAGUGGGUGAACAAAGGGAUGAGCGACUCAGGACACGCGCCUGGCAGCCAAUCUCCACAGAGUCCCCUCAUGAGGACUUUACAAUUCAGGGGACACAGAGGCCUGGAUUAUGGCCUCCCAAGGAGGGUCUGGCCUCAAUCUAGUUCUCUCUAUCUCUCUCUCUCUCUCUCUCACACACACACACACACACACACACACACCACGCCACCUUUCAGCACAGGCCCACCUGCCCCCAUCCCCUCCCGAAAUGCCCUGCCACAUGUGUCAACGUGGAGGACGCAUUUAAGACAUGAGGCCGGGAGCCCAGAGUAGCCGCUGUAGCAUGGAGGCAGGUCUGCGAGCCAGCAGGCAGGCUGCCAUCAUUUACGGGAAAUGCGCUGCUGAGGAGAAAGGGUGGUAGGUUGUUUAGCCCACUCCUGGCCGCUGUCCAGACUGGGUCAGGAAGCUUUGCUCUGUGCCAGCAUCACCCACGCAGGCUCAGUUCCUCCCCAUACAGCUUGUCCAGAGAUCCACAAGGCAAGCCGGGAAGUCACUGCCCAUCUCUCUCCUUCCUAUGUAUCCAAAGCAACAACAACAAAAACCAAAAUAGCAGUUUGUGGACUCAGAUGCUUUGCAGUCAGCAUGCUUUGAAGCUCAGCUCUGCCUCUUCUCAGUCGGGAGAUAAAUAGCUUGGACAAGUCACUAAACCUCUCUGAACCU